CACAGUAUUUGCCCAUACUAUGGUUACACAAUUUUGAAUAACAACAGAGUUACUCAAUUUUCGUGUUGUUUCACUUUUUAUGGAAAUGAAUUGUUUUCUAAUUAUUUUUGAAUUCAUCUUAGGGAGCGUGUAAAAAACUACCGAGUUUGAUUCACACUCUCACAAAUUUCAAUAUACAGUGUAAAGCGGGCCGUGUCGUAGUGUUCGUGUGUUUUCGCUUGGAGAACUCUAACUCUAGCAAUUGUUGUGUCCUACACUAAAAAAACUGCGCACGCUCCAUUCAAGUGUUUCAUCAAUUGGAUAUGAAAAUGACUCCGAAUUGUUCUUUGAAUAAUUUUUUAUCGAAUUCAAUCAUUUUUCACUUUCAUUUCAAGUUGUCACACACAUCAACUUACCAUUCCAUGAGCCGCACUUCAUUUACGUAUGAUUCCAACAUCCCUUCCAAGUGAAUUGCAUGUGCGAAACACUUUCGGUUGAUUUGUUUUGUUUUUAUGUGUCAAAUGAAGUGCCGUUUGUGCUAAAAAGUAGCAAAAUGGCGACAGAUUCCAUUCCAUUCCAGUCAGCGAGUGUCAUACGGCUUAGAAGCUCGACGAUUCUCCGGACUAAAUUUGUAAAUGUUUGCAAGCACAAGAUCACAGAGAUUCUGAUGAAAGCAUCUUUACGCUAGAGGCUUCUUCAACAGAGAAGUAAAGUUUAUAUUUGAUGAUGGAUUAUUAUAGAUAAAAUUAAAUUUUAAGUUUUAUAAAUAAAACAAAGGUUGCAUUAUAUGCAAUAAUUUCCAUGUAAAA
Molecule: long non-coding RNA, 788 nt
Organism: Wyeomyia smithii (pitcher-plant mosquito)
Lineage: Eukaryota; Metazoa; Arthropoda; Insecta; Diptera; Culicidae
Exons: 3
Source: RefSeq, a predicted model, not a curated record